This 481-nucleotide ribosomal RNA is filed under the name uncultured Clostridium sp. RNAcentral's name for it is "bacterial SSU rRNA". It matches the Rfam family "Bacterial small subunit ribosomal RNA", at positions 907 to 1392 of the family's 1533-position model. The record is from RNAcentral. Lineage: Bacteria; Bacillati; Bacillota; Clostridia; Eubacteriales; Clostridiaceae.
GAAUUGACGGGGGCCCGCACAAGCAGUGGAGUAUGUGGUUUAAUUCGAAGCAACGCGAAGAACCUUACCAGGUCUUGACAUCCACCGAAUCCGGAAGAGAUUCCGGAGUGCCCUUCGGGGAACGGUGAGACAGGUGGUGCAUGGUUGUCGUCAGCUCGUGUCGUGAGAUGUUGGGUUAAGUCCCGCAACGAGCGCGACCCUCGUUAAUAGUUGCUACGCAAGAGCACUCUAUUAAGACCGCCGUUGAUAAAACGGAGGAAGGUGGGGAUGACGUCAAAUCAUCAUGCCCCUUAUGACCUGGGCUACACACGUACUACAAUGGCCGUUAACAGAGGGAAGCAAUACCGCGAGGUGGAGCCAAACCCUAAAAGCGGUCUCAGUUCAGAUUGCAGGCUGCAACCCGCCUGCAUGAAGACGGAAUUGCUAGUAAUCGCGGAUCAGCAUGCCGCGGUGAAUACGUUCCCGGGCCUUGUACACACCG